Molecule: unclassified non-coding RNA, 588 nt
Filed under: Hevea brasiliensis (rubber tree)
Lineage: Eukaryota; Viridiplantae; Streptophyta; Magnoliopsida; Malpighiales; Euphorbiaceae
Source: RNAcentral
CGAUAAUAAACACCAUAAAUCUCUAACUUAUUCCAUGCUAAAUAUGGUAAGGUAAAACUGCGCCCUCUGGGCAAAAGCUAAAAUGGCCAGAUAGCAUCGCAUGGUGUGUACCUACCGACCGAGAUUCCCCAGCAGUCGGUCGACGGCAGCAUGAACGUUUCCUCCAGUGGCAUUCAGGGCGCGGAUGUUCUCCUGUGUGUCAUAGAAACCCAUUUCCUGAAGCUGGGAUAGCUGUGUCGCAUAGAGUUCUUCAGGAGGCACGUUCGAGGUAUUAGAAUUUGGAAUGCCCAGGCCACCAGCUCCAAGUCCACCAAACAUGUUCAUCAAAAAGUCCAGCCCUAUGGGGUUCGGAGCCCCUGUACCACCACCUGUUUGGUUCUGUUCCUGGCUCGACGGUUGUCGACCCAACUGGGAGAGAAGCGAUUGGUUGAAUGACAGGAGUUGCUGCAUUGUCUCGGGCGAUGAAAUCUGCCGAAGAAGUUCGGGAUUUUGCAUCAUUUCGCGCAAUUGCGGAUUCGAAUCCAUUAGAUUACGGAGUUGAGGAUUAAGACCAAGAAUCUGAUUCAUGUACUGAGGGUUGGUGAGGAG